Molecule: long non-coding RNA, 411 nt
Filed under: Amborella trichopoda
Lineage: Eukaryota; Viridiplantae; Streptophyta; Magnoliopsida; Amborellales; Amborellaceae
Description: long non-coding RNA (ATRI_LNC003037)
Source: RNAcentral
AAGUUUUCUAAGGUAGGAGUCUUCACCUCUCUGAAUUUAAAUUCUACUAACAUAUUAUUUUAUUCUUUUAUUACGUUACAGGUGUAAGCGUUAGUUUACGCUUUAAACACCUCAAGCUUUUAUUACGUUACAGGUGUGAGCGUUAGUUUACGCUUUAAACACCUAAAGCCCACGUCCUUUAGUGGACGUGGCAAGAGCAAGGAAACACAAAGCUUUUAAACGAAAAGCUUUGAAAAGUAGCGAUGGUCCCUAAACACCAUCAUGUUCAAACGAAUCAUCAUGUAUUAAAAGUUUAUUUAUUUAUUAUUAUUAUUUUGAAAGUUUAGGAUUGUUACAAUGCUGUUUGGUGAUCGAGAAGGCCGUAUGGAUUAAUAAAUUUCUUAAUCGACUUGACUUUCACCUCGUGCGUUG